UCCAGAUGAUGAACGGUAAUU
Molecule: non-coding RNA, 21 nt
Organism: Caenorhabditis elegans
Lineage: Eukaryota; Metazoa; Nematoda; Chromadorea; Rhabditida; Rhabditidae
Source: Ensembl